RNAcentral lists this ribosomal RNA (497 nucleotides) under uncultured bacterium. Its description in RNAcentral is "bacterial SSU rRNA". It matches the Rfam family "Bacterial small subunit ribosomal RNA", at positions 19 to 507 of the family's 1533-position model. The record is from RNAcentral.
AUGGCUCAGGAUGAACGCUAGCUACAGGCUUAACACAUGCAAGUCGAGGGCAGCAUGAACUUAGCUUGCUAAGUUGAUGGCGACCGGCGCACGGGUGAGUAACACGUAUCCAACCUUCCGUUUACUCAGGGAUAGCCUUUCGAAAGAAAGAUUAAUACCUGAUAGUAUGGUGAGAUUGCAUGAUAACACCAUUAAAGAUUUAUUGGUAAACGAUGGGGAUGCGUUCCAUUAGGUAGUAGGCGGGGUAACGGCCCACCUAGCCUGCGAUGGAUAGGGGUUCUGAGAGGAAGGUCCCCCACAUUGGAACUGAGACACGGUCCAAACUCCUACGGGAGGCAGCAGUGAGGAAUAUUGGUCAAUGGGCGAGAGCCUGAACCAGCCAAGUAGCGUGAAGGAUGAAGGUCCUACGGAUUGUAAACUUCUUUUAUACGGGAAUAAAGUUUCCUACGUGUAGGAUUUUGUAUGUACCGUAUGAAUAAGCAUCGGCUAACUCCGUG